RNAcentral lists this unclassified non-coding RNA (577 nucleotides) under Hevea brasiliensis (rubber tree). Lineage: Eukaryota; Viridiplantae; Streptophyta; Magnoliopsida; Malpighiales; Euphorbiaceae. The record is from RNAcentral.
AAGAGGCAGAGGAAGAACUUGUAUAGAGGUAUCAGGCAACGCCCCUGGGGCAAAUGGGCCGCUGAGAUUCGCGAUCCAAGGAAAGGAGUACGCGUUUGGCUAGGCACCUUCAACACCGCCGAAGAAGCUGCUCGAGCCUACGAUAGGGAGGCCCGCAAAAUUCGCGGCAAGAAAGCCAAGGUCAAUUUCCCCAAUGAAGAUGACUAUCUCACUUCCCAAAAUCACCUUAAUCCGCCUCCUCAUGGGAAUCCCAAUCCCUCUCUGUAUCAACCCCUCACUUGUAAUUUCAGCAAUCCCCCAAAAAAUUAUGAAUUUGGGUUCGGUCGUGAUUUAAACCAUAUUGGAUCCUACGCUUCAAAUGGAAUAAAUACUGAACCUCUUUUCGUUUCUGGCGAGGAGAAUUCUGGAUCUGGUUCAGGGGAGGAAGCCUACCCAAUAAUUGGGCUAAUGAGCUGCAACCAGAAAGUAAGCAACAAUAAUUACGUAAGUGAAGUGAAAGUGAAACAGGAAGAGGAGAAAAUGGAGGUAGAGAAGGUGAACAAUGGGAAGGUAGUGGUAGUGGACGAGAAAUCUCAGC